AAGGCCCUUAACCUGCAAUUGCUUCAUCCUGGGUAUGAUGUUAAUCUACAUCCAGCUCUGUAAGGAGGUCCUGCAACUUACAGGGAAUAACUUGGGGGUUUGUGGCAGGAUUGGCACUCCAGCCACCGGAAAAAACCUCACACUGGUCCAUUUGGACUAGUGUGAUGCUGAGGUAUCACCCGCUGCAUGGCUGCACUUGGCUUCUCAUCCCUGAGAUGGUUUGUUGUGGUGGGUGCAGCAACAUGCUGUCAUCGCAUGCUUCCUACCUCAUUCAAAUAUACUCCUUAUUUUACUAUUUACAGUUCGGGAAACUUAUUGGCCAGUAGAUGGUGCAGAUGCAAAUUUCUUUUUUACUACUUCGUGACAAAAUCACGUUUUUCAAUCGCAUUCCACAAGUAUAUAUGUGUCUAAUUUCAAUUAUUGUAUUAAAAUUACAGGCCAUAGAAAAACGCUAUACAUACCCAAAACGGAUUAUCAACCUGUAUAGUCAUCCAUAGGCACUGACUUGGGGGAUCAUCCCUCUUAAUAUCGUAUAUAAUAGCUGGUUCACAAAAAACAUGUGAUUAUUAUCUCAUUACAUAAUUUGAAGUGUUUUUUUCUUAGUCUUUAUUUGGAGAACCCCUACCCUCUGUUAAAACAGUUUAUUCUCAACUCCCACUCCAGUUGGCAGCUGAUAAACUCCCCAAAAAUCCUGAAUGCUGUAAUUGCAUAAAAAGGUGCUUCAACAAGGUAUUACUUUAAGGGUGUGCACACUUAUGCAACCAGCAUAUUGUAUUGUUUUACUAUAUUUUCCCCCUAAGAAUUGAAUUGUACAGGUUAUAGGUCACAUUAAAGGUGGGUAAAGUUUUAAAA
Molecule: long non-coding RNA, 852 nt
Organism: Brienomyrus brachyistius
Lineage: Eukaryota; Metazoa; Chordata; Actinopteri; Osteoglossiformes; Mormyridae
Exons: 2
Source: RefSeq, a predicted model, not a curated record